Molecule: transfer RNA, 77 nt
Filed under: Thiopseudomonas alkaliphila
Lineage: Bacteria; Pseudomonadati; Pseudomonadota; Gammaproteobacteria; Pseudomonadales; Pseudomonadaceae
Also listed under: 1 other name
Description: tRNA-Arg(ccg)
Rfam family: tRNA
About the family: Transfer RNA (tRNA) molecules are approximately 80 nucleotides in length. Their secondary structure includes four short double-helical elements and three loops (D, anti-codon, and T loops).
Source: RNAcentral
GCACCCGUAGCUCAGUUGGAUAGAGUGUCGCCCUCCGAAGGCGAAGGUCACAGGUUCAAUUCCUGUCGGGUGCGCCA